GACGAACGCUGGCGGCGUGCUUAACACAUGCAAUUCGAACGGAAAGGCCCUGCUUUUUUGGGGUGCUCGAGUGGCGAACGGGUGAGUAACACGUGAGUGACCUGCCCUUGACUUUGGGAUAACGUCAGGAAACUGGGGCUAAUACCGGAUAGGCGCUCCUGCUGCAUGGUGGGUGUUGGAAAGUUUCGGCGGUUGGGGAUGGACUCGCGGCUUAUCAGCUUGUUGGUGGGGUAGUGGCUUACCAAGGCUUUGACGGGUAGCCGGCCUGAGAGGGUGACCGGCCACAUUGGGACUGAGAUAAGGACCAGACUGCUACGGGAGGCAGAAGUGGGGAAUAUUGCACAAUGGGCGGAAGCAUGAUGCAGCAACGCCGCGUGCGGGAUGACGGCCUUCGGGUUGUAAACAGCUUUCGCCUGUGACGAAGCGUGAGUGACGGUAAUGGGUAAAGAAGCAACGGCUAACUACGUG
This 468-nucleotide ribosomal RNA is filed under the name uncultured bacterium. Its description in RNAcentral is "partial 16S ribosomal RNA". It matches the Rfam family "Bacterial small subunit ribosomal RNA", at positions 28 to 507 of the family's 1533-position model. The record is from RNAcentral.